Molecule: unclassified non-coding RNA, 377 nt
Filed under: uncultured bacterium
Lineage: Bacteria
Description: contains 16S-23S intergenic spacer region
Source: RNAcentral
UCGCGGCUUAUCACCGGCAGUCCCCUUAGAGUGCCCAACUGAAUGAUGGCAACUAAGGGCGAGGGUUGCGCUCGUUGCGGGACUUAACCCAACAUCUCACGACACGAGCCGACGACAGCCAUACAGCACCUGUCUUGGGACUCCGAAGAGCGGCCCUGGUUUCUCAGGACCUUCCCCAAGAUGUCAAGCCCAGGUAAGGUUCUUCGCGUUGCGUCGAAUUGAACCACAUGCUCCGCUGCUUGUGCGGGUCCCCGUCAAUUCCUUUGAGUUUUAGCCUUGCGGCCGUACUCCCCAGGCGGGGCACUUAAUGCGUUAGCUGCGGUACUGAGAAAUCGCUUCCCCAACACCUAGUUGUCAUCGUUUAGGGCGUGGACUAC